This 468-nucleotide ribosomal RNA is filed under the name uncultured bacterium. RNAcentral's name for it is "partial 16S ribosomal RNA". It matches the Rfam family "Bacterial small subunit ribosomal RNA", at positions 28 to 507 of the family's 1533-position model. The record is from RNAcentral.
GACGAACGCUGGCGGCGUGCUUAACACAUGCAAGUCGAACGGCAAGGCCCUGCUUUUGUGGGGUGCUCGAGUGGCGAACGCGUGCGUAACACGUGAGUAACCUGCCCUUGACUUUGGGAUAACUUCAGGAAACUGGGGCUAAUACCGGAUAGGAGCUCCUGCUGCAUGGUGGGGGUUGGAAAGUUUCGGCGGUUGGGGAUGGACUCGCGGCUUAUCAGCUUGUUGGUGGGGUAGUGGCUUACCAAGGCUUUGACGGGUAGCCGGCCUGAGAGGGUGACCGGCCACAUUGGGACUGAGAGACGGCGCAGACUCCUACGGGAGGCAGAAGUGGGGAAUAUUGCACAAUGGGCGGAAGUCUGAUGCAGCAACGCCGCGUGCGGGAUGACGGCCUUCGGGUUGUAAACCGCUUUCGCCUGUGACGAAGCGUGAGUGACGGUAAUGGGUAAAGAAGCACCGGCUAACUACGUG